AGAUGGAUAGCCCCGAAGAAAAUUCGGAUUAAUACAUCGUAACAUCACAGGGUGGCAUCACCUCAUGAUUAAAGAAUUUCGCUUGGAGAUGGGCGUGCGCCUGAUUAGGUAGUUGGUGAGGUAACGGCUCACCAAGCCGACGAUCAGUAACUGGCGUGAGAGCGCGACCAGUCACACGGGCACUGAGGCACGGGCCCGACUCCUACGGGAGGCAGCAGUAAGGAAUAUUGGUCAAUGGACGGAAGUCUGAACCAGCCAUGCCGCGUGAAGGAUGAAGGUCCUCUGGAUUGUAAACUUCUUUUAUCUGGGACGAAACCACCUUUUUCUAAGGGUGUUGACGGUACCAGAGGAAUAAGCACCGGCUAACUCCGUGC
Molecule: ribosomal RNA, 374 nt
Filed under: uncultured Comamonas sp.
Lineage: Bacteria; Pseudomonadati; Pseudomonadota; Betaproteobacteria; Burkholderiales; Comamonadaceae
Description: bacterial SSU rRNA
Rfam family: Bacterial small subunit ribosomal RNA
Source: RNAcentral